UACAGAGGGUGCGAGCGUUAAUCGGAAUUACUGGGCGUAAAGCGUGCGUAGACGGUAGCGUAAGUCAGAUGUGAAAGCCCCGGGCUCAACCUGGGAAUGGCAUUUGGGACUGCAAGGCUGGAGUGCGGCAGAGGAGACUGGAAUUCCUGGUGUAGCAGUGAAAUGCGUAGAUAUCAGGAGGAAUACCGAUGGCGAAGGCAGGUCUCUGGGCUGACACUGGCGCUCAUGCACGAAAGCGUGGGGAGCAAACAGG
RNAcentral lists this ribosomal RNA (253 nucleotides) under uncultured bacterium. RNAcentral's name for it is "partial 16S ribosomal RNA". It matches the Rfam family "Bacterial small subunit ribosomal RNA", at positions 524 to 776 of the family's 1533-position model. The record is from RNAcentral.